GUUUAUAACUAUGGAGGAUCAUAACCCUUUCCAGAGUAAUGCUUUCACACCUGACUCAACACAAGGAAACAGUUUACUGGCAGGACAGAUAACUCUGGUCAUAGAUCACAGCACAAACCCUCCGGUUGUAACAGCCCAUUUCCAGCAGCCUCCUAAUCAUCCCAAUCUCCUUCAUCACCAUCUUCAUCUUCAUCAUCACCAUCAACCCCUUCUUUCUCAUCUUCAAACCCAUCAACAUGCGAUCUAUGGCACAUUGUUGUCUACCAAAGAUCAGCCCCCUCAGCCACCACCAGUGCCACAAAUCUGGGCAGUAUGCCCCCCACCAGGGUACAUCUGUGUGGCUGCACCAGCACCAGCAGCUGCAACCAACAUUACCAUGGCACCUAUUGACACAACAAUGAACACUGGCAAUCCAGUUGUCCCAUUGGAGGAGGCCGCAGGAAGCCCUGUGAUGGAAGCUACUAAAAAGAAAGAGGAUGCAGAUCAGAGAAGAGGGGAGACGACAAAGAAAACAGCCAUCAUUGGAGAGGUUGGUGACAGUAGUGAUGGCAUGAACAGUGAAAAGAUAGAAGGUGAAAAGAGGGAUGGAGAAAGAAGUGUAGAGGAGAGUAACCCUAGUCCUGUGAAGGAGGUGGUCCAAUGUGCAACGAGCGGUGCUGCAGAUGGAGGUGGGGACAGAACAGGUUCAGACAUUUCCUCAUCCAGGAAGCAGAAAGGUAGCGUUAAGGGGGCUAAGUUAGGGGUGCGUCCUACCCAAAACGCUCCCCAACCUCCAAGGAGCCGUCUGGGUCAUCAGAUGAUGCAGUCUGUUCAGGUUUUCCACAAACUUGGGGUAAAAGCCCAGACAUCCAAUCAGUCCAACCAGUCCAUUCCCAAUGAACAAAUGACAGAAGAACAAGUAAUUUUGAUGGACCAGGACCUGCUAGACUUUGAGACGAUUCAUGUUACCGUAGCAAACAGUAACUCCUCAGUGGUGGAAAUAAGAAUACGAGAUGAUGUAGAUACCAUUGGGGCAUCCCAAGCUGAACAUCCUUCGUCUGCAAAACCAACUGUCUUUGACAACCCAAUAACAUUUGACAACCUUUCACAGAAGUCUGCUAGCUCCACAACCAAGUCUGUCUCCCCAUCCUGUCAGAGUAGGCAACCAACUUCAUCAGGGGGAACAAUCCACAGCGACCCCACACACUCCCAACCCUUCGCACCACCCAUUACCCAAAACCACCCCCCGUUCAAAGCCCCCAACCCUCACCCAAGGAGAAGGUACCGUGGUUCUCGCCAUCAGUUUCCCAACACGUGCCAUCACCCAACCCCUCCUGGGCAGUACGGGAGGUUACCCCCUCCUGAUUCCCUCUACUUUCCCAGCCCCUGGCAGGCCUCGGUGCCCAUCUCUCUGUGGCAGAGGGAGGAGAGGGAGGACAUGAAGAGGAAGACCCAGCAGCAGAGAGAAAGGAUGUCCCGGAUCACCAAACAAGGCUGGGACCACAACGUGUUCAUCAACAGGGACCAAUACACUCUGGAGAAAUACCUGAGUAGUUCCACAGUACCCAUGCUGAAGGGCACCAUGAGCGCCUGGAAAAAGCUAAUGGAGAUCUGGAAUAAAUGAAUGGCAAUUUUUUUGGUUAGCAUGUGUUUAGUGUAUCUUUUCGGAAACUAUAGUGAUGCACGGGGUAUACUACAAAAGGUGGUAAAGACGGUUCACUUCUAUGUUUUCU
Long non-coding RNA from Salmo trutta (river trout), 1712 nucleotides. The record is from Ensembl. Lineage: Eukaryota; Metazoa; Chordata; Actinopteri; Salmoniformes; Salmonidae.